UAGGAAAACCGAGGAACAAUGCAGGUUCGAGGUGCACAGUGGCUAAGCACACUCAGUCCUCAAGAUCUUUCCUCUCAAAUGCUAAUGCUACCUUCAGAUGGGCUGCUGCCUGCUACCAUUUCAACAUUGAGUCCUUUAAGAUGCCAUCAGAGAGAGGGGAAGCAAGAGGCCAAGAAAAAUGAAAGGAGUUAAGAGUAAACCAUACUCCGGGCAACCAUCACCCCAAAAGGGAGACAACCAGACCUUCUGUGCCUCCCAAUGAAAGUCCACAUUCAACACCACCUACGAAGGAUUCUUACCAAAGACACCAAAACUGAACUCAGGCAACCCUCCAGAUAUAACUACCAAUUUGCAGAAAAUAAAAGGGAUAGAAGAACACAAAGAUGCAAUCAGCAAAAUUCAGACAGGACAAGCAAUAUUUUUUUCAAGAAGAAGAAGAAAAUUGAGGGAGUCUGGAAGAGAUGUAGAGUAAACUGGUAGAGUGAGACACUUAAGGGAUGCAUGAGUUCAGAACAAAGUGUAGACCUCGUUGGGAUCCCAGUUCAGGCAAGCAAAUCUUAAAAUGUUCAUGAGACUGUUGGAGGAAGGCAAACACAGAUAGCAUAGGUGUUGACAUUAAAGAAAUCUUAAUUUGGACAGCCAUCAUAGCUACAAAACAGAUGGAUGCGGUAACACAGAACACCAAAAACCUCCGCUUAAGACUCGGCUGGGAAAUUGAGUUGCCUUUUUUAAUGGAAAAGGAAAAGAAUCACCCAUAAGGAUAACCUUGAAUUUAGAAAGAGCGGGUGGGUGGGGUGAUCAGCUGGGCCUCUUCUGUGCAUGGUAGAGCACAUUUCAGAAUUGUGUGUGUAUCAGUGGUCACUGUAAUUUAAGAAAAAAGAACAAGAAUUCAGAAAAUUAUAUCCUAUCCGAAAAAAAGGACUGUACAAGAAGCAUAGUGUCAGGAACUGCUUCUGGAGAGGCCUCAGGAAGCCUUUACUCAUGGCAGAAGGCAAAGCCGGAGUGGAUGUGUCACAUGGCGAGAGAAGACGCAACAGAUGGGAGAGGUUUCAGACUCUUUAAUAAGCAGGGCCCUGCAUGUUUUUCUUCGGGAAGGCUGUGCAGUCUGCUCUGAGGAGACAGAUCAACCUAGCCCUUCUCCAGGACGAACUCCGAAAACCACAGGAAUUCACGUUCAAAGGAUGACGCAUCUCAGAAUCAGGGAAGGAUGGCGGGGAGGGAGAGAGGAAGAGAUAGGGAGAAAGACAGGGAGGGAGAGGAAGAGGCAGAGAGAGAAAGGGAGAGAGAGGGAGGUGGGGGAGAGAGACGUUUGAACGAAGUCUACAGAUUAGUUAAUAGUGUGAUCAUUGUUAACUUGCUGACUUUGAGUGCAACAAAGAAUCAGAAUGGCCACAUGAAGUAAUCCUAAGUGACACUAGCCUGAUGUAGAUCCCAUUCAAUGCAGUCCCUGCCUUCCAGAUGGAUGUGAACAAGAUUCCCAGGGUACUCAUGCCUUCAUGUGUUUGCUUCACCUUUUGAUGGGUGGCCUUUAGUGAGCCAGUGGCUCGGAUUUAUGUGGUCAGAUUCUGAGCCGGCAGACACAAGGACAAGCCAGCGAGAGGUGUGGCAGGACUGGAGAUUCUGUGUAGAAGGUUAAAUUUGAACAGAGACAGAUGUGCAUAGAGAGAAGGUUGUGUGAAGAGACACAGGAAGGAGACGGCCAUCUAUUUGGAACAGAGCUUCCCUUAUAGACCUCAGAAGGAACCAACUCUGAUACCUUGGUUUUGGGCUUCCAGACUCCAGAACUGUGAGACAAUAAAUUCGGUCACAUUCAAUGCUUCUGGCAACAUCCUGGGGCAAGCGGACAUGUGAUGCGACUCGAUAACUGCAACGGUGAUGUCAUGUGUGUGUCUACUUUAGAGAGCAGAUGGUCGAUCUGGUGCUAAUUUGCCCAAUACGGUAGCUACGCGGCAAUGAAAUUCCAAAACUGGCACAAGGCGGGCCUGGUUCCAGGGAUCACUGGAUCUAAAAGAAAAAAAUCCAAUGAAUGAUGCAUCCCACUGGCAUUCCAAAGAGCAAGUAAACAAAAGAAAUUAUGGGUUUGGGCUCAGAAACCCCAACCCUUGAGAUUUCAGAAAACAAAACGACUCAUUGGCAAGAGGCACUGUAACGACUCAGGUUCAAAUCCCACCUCUGUUAUUUACCAAUUGCAUAACUUUCAGCUUCAGUGUGACCUGACCCUGAGCUUUCCAAUCCAAAAAUAGAAGUAAUGUCUAUGU
RNAcentral lists this long non-coding RNA (2258 nucleotides) under Homo sapiens (human). RNAcentral's name for it is "HSALNT0099353". Lineage: Eukaryota; Metazoa; Chordata; Mammalia; Primates; Hominidae. The record is from RNAcentral.